Long non-coding RNA from Mauremys reevesii (Reeves's turtle), 385 nucleotides. RefSeq lists it as uncharacterized. NCBI's taxonomy places the organism in Eukaryota, Metazoa, Chordata, Testudines, Geoemydidae. The record is from RefSeq and is a predicted model, not a curated record. The transcript is spliced from 2 exons.
AUACCAUUGCCUUCAAACAUGGCUGCAGUCAAAGGUGGAGCUGUAGAAACAGGGUGAUGAUGAAGCUGAAGCUAGUUCCGUCCCGGAUCACAUGGUGGUGAGAAGGAACUGGAGAGAUGGUUGGUCCCCCACCCUGCCCUCUAUCCCCCCUGUCAGAGGCACGAGGAGAGUCAGGCGAGCAUGCACAGACCAACAGACACUACUUUCAGAUUUUCCAUCCCCAGGCCAUGAUGUGCAUGUGGAAGAGGGAUCAUCUCUUGAAGAAGAAGGGACAUAUCAUGAUUUUUUGCCAUCAUCACUUGGCACCUGUUGCUUUCUCAAACUUCCAAGUAUGGGGAUCACACCACUCAGUUUUUCCUAUAUUAAAAAGCCUCUAAGCAUUUCA